AUUGAACGCUGGCGGCAUGCCUUACACAUGCAGGUCGAACGGCAGCGCGGGGCAACCUGGCGGCGAGUGGCGAACGGGUGAGUAAUAUAUCGGAACGUACCCUGGAGUGGGGGAUAACGUAGCGAAAGUUACGCUAAUACCGCAUACGAUCUAAGGAUGAAAGUGGGGGAUUCGCAAGAACCUCAUGCUCCUGGAGCGGCCGAUAUCUGAUUAGCUAGUUGGUAGGGUAAAAGCCUACCAAGGCAUCGAUCAGUAGCUGGUCUGAGAGGACGACCAGCCACACUGGAACUGAGACACGGUCCAGACUCCUACGGGAGGCAGCAGUGGGGAAUUUUGGACAAUGGGCGCAAGCCUGAUCCAGCAAUGCCGCGUGAGUGAAGAAGGCCUUCGGGUUGUAAAGCUCUUUUGUCAGGGAAGAAACGGGUUUUUCUAAUACAGAGAUCUAAUGACGGUACCUGAAGAAUAAGCACCGGCUAACUACGUGCCAGCAGCCGCGGUAAUACGUAGGGUGCAAGCGUUAAUCGGAAUUACUGGGCGUAAAGCGUGCGCAGGCGGUUUUGUAAGACUGUCGUGAAAUCCCCGGGCUCAACCUGGGAAUGGCGAUGGUGACUGCAAGGCUAGAGUUUGGCAGAGGGGGGUAGAAUUCCACGUGUAGCAGUGAAAUGCGUAGAUAUGUGGAGGAACACCGAUGGCGAAGGCAGCCCCCUGGGUCAAAACUGACGCUCAUGCACGAAAGCGUGGGGAGCAAACAGGAUUAGAUACCCUGGUAGUCCACGCCCUAAACGAUGUCUACUAGUUGUCGGGUUUUAAUUAACUUGGUAACGCAGCUAACGCGUGAAGUAGACCGCCUGGGGAGUACGGUCGCAAGAUUAAAACUCAAAGGAAUUGACGGGGACCCGCACAAGCGGUGGAUGAUGUGGAUUAAUUCGAUGCAACGCGAAAAACCUUACCUACCCUUGACAUGGCAGAAAUCCUCGAGAGAUUGAGGAGUGCUCGAAAGAGAAUCUGCACACAGGUGCUGCAUGGCUGUCGUCAGCUCGUGUCGUGAGAUGUUGGGUUAAGUCCCGCAACGAGCGCAACCCUUGUCAUUAGUUGCUACGAAAGAGCACUCUAAUGAGACUGCCGGUGACAAACCGGAGGAAGGUGGGGAUGACGUCAAGUCCUCAUGGCCCUUAUGGGUAGGGCUUCACACGUCAUAC
This 1199-nucleotide ribosomal RNA is filed under the name uncultured bacterium. RNAcentral's name for it is "bacterial SSU rRNA". It matches the Rfam family "Bacterial small subunit ribosomal RNA", at positions 28 to 1228 of the family's 1533-position model. The record is from RNAcentral.